Molecule: ribosomal RNA, 468 nt
Filed under: uncultured bacterium
Lineage: Bacteria
Description: partial 16S ribosomal RNA
Rfam family: Bacterial small subunit ribosomal RNA
Source: RNAcentral
GAUGAACGCUGGCGGCGUGCUUAACACAUGCAAGUCGAACGGUGAAGGCGGAGCUUGCUCUGCUGGAUCAGUGGCGAACGGGUGAGUAACACGUGAGCAAUCUGCCCCUGACUCUGGGAUAAGCGCUGGAAACGGCGUCUAAUACUGGAUACGAGCUGCGAAGGCAUCUUCAGCAGCUGGAAAGAACUUCGGUCAGGGAUGAGCUCGCGGCCUAUCAGCUUGUUGGUGAGGUAACGGCUCACCAAGGCGUCGACGGGUAGCCGGCCUGAGAGGGUGACCGGCCACACUGGGACUGAGACAUGGCCCAGACUCCUACGGGAGGCAGCAGUGGGGAAUAUUGCACAAUGGGCGAAAGCCUGAUGCAGCAACGCCGCGUGAGGGACGACGGCCUUCGGGUUGUAAACCUCUUUUAGCAGGGAAGAAGCGAAAGUGACGGUACCUGCAGAAAAAGCGCCGGCUAACUACGUG